ACAAAUAGGAUGAGAGGAACACAUCUUUUUCUCUCAACCAAACUAAACUAGCCAAUCAGAAGUAGAAUGGGGCGGGUCUUUAAGUGUGGUUGAGAGAUCCAGCUGCAGGUACCGAGCGGAGACCGGAGAUGUCACGUAGCAAGGAAACGUAGUCCGCAGGAUGGAAAACAACAAACCAAAGGAUGAGGACUGCAGCAUUGCUUGGGCUGCCGUGAUACAUGCGAGAGACUCCAUCUAAAUUCAUGAAGAUAUGCGAGCCCAGUGACCAUGAAGAGGAUGUGAUCAAGGGCGUGGUGAUCGGAAUCCUAGUGGUUGUGGAAAAUGCGGAGCCUUUUCCAGAAUUCUACAAUGACGUUGCCCUGGUGAUUGAGGAAGAAGUGGUGAUGCGUCACCCUGAGUGACAUAACUAAUGCUUUUCUGAACCUGAUUGGCCUGGUGUACGCAUUAAACCUUGACUAGCCAAAGGAAUUAAAAUUCACUUUUGAAGUGAUACAGCGCCUGUUCAUUGGAGUUGGAUCACACUCUUGCACCGCAAGAGUUCACUCUUUGAAGAGCAAGUUGCUGAGAUAAGAAACUGUUUUCUUCUCCUUGUUACUAUAAGCAUUUACAGUGUUGCACUGUUUUAAAGUUUAAGACCAUUGUUAUUUUAGAUAUUAUUGUUUUAAAGGGAUACUCCAUCGUUUUGUCAUAUUAAACUGAUAUUACCUUAAAGCAAUAGUUCACUUUGAAAUUAAAUUCUAAUGUUUUAGCUUACCUCAAGGGCAUCCAAGAUGUAGGUGUCUUUGUUUCCGUGGUAGUUUCACUUUUGAUGUUUUUAGGUCAAACUGUUGUUGUCUGUCAGUCAUAUAAUGCAGGUCUAUGGUCACUUGGUAAACAUAACCUCAAAGAGCAUUCACAGUGAAGUCCAAAUUAAACAACUGUCCAUCGUAAGUACACAUUGAUGGCCUUAGACACGAAACGAGCGGUUUGUGUGA
Molecule: non-coding RNA, 974 nt
Organism: Misgurnus anguillicaudatus (oriental weatherfish)
Lineage: Eukaryota; Metazoa; Chordata; Actinopteri; Cypriniformes; Cobitidae
Source: RefSeq, a predicted model, not a curated record